RNAcentral lists this ribosomal RNA (467 nucleotides) under uncultured bacterium. Its description in RNAcentral is "partial 16S ribosomal RNA". It matches the Rfam family "Bacterial small subunit ribosomal RNA", at positions 28 to 506 of the family's 1533-position model. The record is from RNAcentral.
GACGAACGCUGGCGGCGUGCUUAACACAUGCAAGUCGAACGGAAAGGCCCUGCUUUUGUGGGGUGCUCGAGUGGCGAACGGGUGAGUAACACGUGAGUAACCUGCCCUUGACUUUGGGAUAACUUCAGGAAACUGGGGCUAAUACCGGAUAGGAGCUCCUGCUGCAUGGUGGGGGUUGGAAAGUUUCGGCGGUUGGGGAUGGACUCGCGGCUUACCAGCUUGUUGGUGGGGUAGUGGCUUACCAAGGCUUUGACGGGUAGCCGGCCUGAGAGGGUGACCGGCCACAUUGGGACUGAGAUACGGCCCAGACUCCUACGGGAGGCAGCAGUGGGGAAUAUUGCACAAUGGGCGGAAGCCUGAUGCAGCAACGCCGCGUGCGGGAUGACGGCCUUCGGGUUGUAAACCGCUUUCGCCUGUGACGAAGCGUGAGUGACGGUAAUGGGGAAAGAAACACCGGCUAACUACGU